This 407-nucleotide ribosomal RNA is filed under the name uncultured bacterium. RNAcentral describes it as "partial 16S ribosomal RNA". It matches the Rfam family "Bacterial small subunit ribosomal RNA", at positions 29 to 526 of the family's 1533-position model. The record is from RNAcentral.
AUUGAACGCUGGCGGCAGGCUUAACACAUGCAAGUCGAGCGGAGCGGCGGACGGGUGAGUAAGGCCUAGGAAUCUGCCUGGUACUGGGGGAGAACGUUCGGAAAAGGGCGCUAAUACCGCAACCUAUCAGAUGGGCCUAGGUCGGGUUAGCUAGAUGUGGGGGUAAAGGCCUACCAAGGCGACGGUCCGUAACUGGUCGGGGAGGAGGAUCAGUCAAACUGGAACUGAGACACGGUCCAGACUACUACGGGAGGCAGCAGUGGGGAAUAUUGGACAAUGGGCGCAAGCCUGACCCAGCAACGCCGCGUGAAGGAAGACGGUCUUCGGAUUGUAAACUUCUUUAGACAGGGACGCGGUACCUGUAGAAUAAGCCACGGCUAACUACGUGCCAGCAGCCGCGGUAAUAC